RNAcentral lists this non-coding RNA (110 nucleotides) under Bacillus glycinifermentans. RNAcentral's name for it is "TPP sequence". It matches the Rfam family "TPP riboswitch aptamer (THI element)". Rfam says of the family: Vitamin B(1) in its active form thiamin pyrophosphate (TPP) is an essential coenzyme that is synthesised by coupling of pyrimidine and thiazole moieties in bacteria. The previously detected thiamin-regulatory element, thi box was extended, resulting in a new, highly conserved RNA secondary structure, the THI element, which is widely distributed in eubacteria and also occurs in some archaea. Analysis of operon structures identified a large number of new candidate thiamin-regulated genes, mostly transporters, in various prokaryotic organisms. The record is from RNAcentral. Lineage: Bacteria; Bacillati; Bacillota; Bacilli; Caryophanales; Bacillaceae.
UAGCUUUACUAGGGGUGCCCUGUCGAGGGCUGAGAGAGAAACAAUCCGUUUCUUAACCCUUUGGACCUGAUCUGGUUCGUACCAGCGUGGGGAAGUAAAAAGGUGUUUGC